UUUCUAGGGCCACUCCCGUGGCAUAUGUAGGUUCCCAGGCUAGGGGUCUAAUUGGAGCUGCAGCCACCGGCCUACGCCAGAGCCACAGUAACACAGGAUCCAAGCUGUGUCUGCAACCUACACCACAGCUCACCGCAAGGCCGGAUGCUUAACCCACUGAGCGAGGCCAGGGAUCGAACCUGCAACCUCAUGGUUCCUAGUCGGAUUCAUAAACCACUGAGCCACAACGGGAACUCCCACAAAAUUCUGAUUUAAAAGAAAAAUCCAAAAAACCAGGCUCUUUUGUGCAAUUUGACUAAAGAGUUUAAAAGUUAGAUGGAAAUGUAACAGGCCAAGAGCAGUCAAGAUACUCUUGAUAAACCAGGGAGAGGACUUGCCCAAUCAGAUACCAUGAUUUCUUUAUAAAUCCAGAGUAAUAAAGAUGAAGUGUUAUUGCCACAAGGAUAGACAAAUAGACCAUUGGCACACAGACUAGAGAGCCCAAAAUCUGCCCAGGCACACGGGGACACUUGAUACUAAGCAGCAGGUGAUACUGCAAAUCAGGAGGGGAAAGACUUUUCUUUUUUUCUUUUUAUGGCCACACCUGUGGCAUGUGGAAGUUCCCAGACUAGGGGUUGAAUCGAAGUUGCAGCUGCCAGCUGAUGCCUACGCUGGAUCUGAGCUGCUUCUGUGACCUACUCCACCACUUGCGGCAACACCGGAUCCUUAGCCCACUGAAUGAGGCCAGGGACCGAACCCACAUCCUCGUGGACACUGUGUCAGGUUUGUUUUUGUUUUUGUUUUUGUUUGUCUUUUUGCUAUUUCUUGGGCUGCUCCCGUGGCAUAUGGAGGUUCCCAGGCCAGCAUAAGGACAUUAAAGCCAGAUAAGGACACCACAAGAAAAGAAAACUACAGGCCAAUAUAUUUGGUAAAUACAGAUGCAAAAAUUCUCAACAAAAUACUAGCAAAUCAAAUUCAAAGGGACGUUAUGAGGAUGAUAUAUCAUGAGCAGGUAGGAUUAUCCAUGGGAUACAAAGACGGCUCAACAUACAUAAACCAAUAAACUCGCAUGUGGGCUCUGGUGGGAGUAAGCUCCCGGCACAGGGCCGUGGUGGGCAUUAGCAGCCAUCUCUGGAAGGUCAACACAGUGACCACGGGAGCAGGUGACACUCAGGCGUGGGGCUGCUGCUUGGAGCAGGGGUCUGCCCAGCGAUCCUCCUGCAGGACCCACCCAUUCACCUACACCCAAAGUCAGUGAUGCCUCCGCACCCUCCACCCGCCCUGUGAGCUGAGCACCUUGUCCUGCAAGAGACAGGACUGCCCAUUGCAGCUCAGGUUUCCUGGUUUGCCCUGGGUGAGCAUCCCUCGCUUACUUUUUGAUGGCAAACACGGUCAGGCCAAUGGUGGUGUUUCUGAACUGUGCAUCCAGGACAGCAGAAUCAAAGGUCCCAUCCCAGAUGAUGGGAGCAAACCAGGGAGUCAUGACCAGCACGUCCACUCUCCUGGGGAGACGAGUCACAGCGUGUUAGAGCCGGGCACAGUGUUGUGGGCCACAGAGGGCAAGCGUUUGUCCAAAGUUGCACAGCCCGUGAGCAGCAGAGCUAGAAAGAGACAGGACUCCAGACUCCCAGCCCAGAGCUCUUUGCACCCUAAGCUCAGCACCCAAGACUCAACACUCCCAUCCCCUCACUGCCCUAAGUUGGAGUGUCCCUGAGUACCAGCUCGGUGCUGGCCCCACGAGACACUUCUUCUGUGAGGCCUCACAACCCUGUUCCCAGGAGGAGGAGUCUCGGCGAGGGAGGACAAGCACCAAGCCCUCUCUCAGCACACGGGGACUUUGCCAUGAUAAGAAAUACGUUUGGGGGAGUUCCCUUGUGGCGCAGCAGGUUAAGGAUCUGGCUGGCUUUGUCACUCCAGAGGCUCGGGUGGCUGCUGUGGCGUGGGUAACUUACCCUAGCUGGGUAACUUCCACAUGCUACAGGCACAACCAAAACACAAAACGAAACAAAACAACACAAAACUUUAUGUGGUCUCUGCCACUCCUCUCCCCUUACCUGAUACAGGCCCUUGGAAUUGCUAGGGCCCUUGGAAUUUCCUGGGUCGCGGGAGCAUCUCGGUUCUAAUGAGGUGACUCUGGGUGGGCUCCUGGGUAGUUCGGGAUGGGGCUGGUCACCAGGAAGACCAAGCCAGGAUUAGAAACUCGGACCUUUCAGCCCCAUAUCCCAGCCUCCCGAGAGGGGAGGGGGCUGGAGAUUGAGUUAAUAACCAAUCAUGCCAAAGAGAUGACGCCUCCAUAAAAAUCCCCAGACUACAGGGUAUUGAGGGCUUCUGGGUGGGCAGACAUGUGGAGGUGCGGGGGGGAGGCGUCCCUGGGGGAGAGCAUGGAAGCUCCGCCCCCUCCCCAUUCCCUUCUCGGUACACCUGUCCCCCCAACUGUCCCUGAGCUGCAGCCUUUAUAAGGAGGCAAGAAUCCAGUAAGUAAACUGCUUUCUUGAGUUCUGUGAGCAUUCCAGCAAAUGAUCAAACCCAAGGAAGGAGCGGUGGGAAAUGAUUUACAGCGAGUCGGUCAGGAGCACAGGUGACAGCCAGGAACUCGGGACUGGUGUCUGAAGUGGGGGCAGGGCUGCGGGGCUGAGCCCUCCACCUGCAGAGUCUGUGCGAAUUGCGGGCAGUGUCAGAAUCGCUUGGUGUGGAAAACCCACACAUGUGCUCUGGGUAGAGGAAACAAGAGCUUCCUUUUAGGGACAAAGCUGAGCUUCGAGAGGGGAGGGGGCUCCUCCUGUCCCGCGUUCUUCGCCACUGCUCCAUUCUCCAGCGGGCACAGACACCUCUCACAUCUCCCUCCACUCACUCUCAUUCAUCAGGACAAAAGAAUCCACCAAAAAACUCAUGCCAACGUGUCCCUCCAGAUCUGCGCUGUCCCACAGAAACAGAGGUAACUAAAAAUCCUCAAGUGCCACAGAAAAGUCAAAGGAAGCAGGAGAAACUGCCAUUAAUUUGGUAUUUUUUUGUUUUACCCCAUAUAUCCAAAACAUCAUCAUUUCGAUUGGUAACCAAUCGUUUCUCUUGGAGGAUAGUUAAUUUACAAUCUUGUGUCAGUUUCAAGUGUACAGGAAAGCGUCCUUUCUUUUAUAGGUUACUAUGCGAUACGGAGCGUAGUUCCCUGUGUGUACAGUGGGUCCUUGUUGUGUGACUAUUUUAUAUACAGUAGGGUGUGUGUGUGAAUCCCACACCCCUGGCACAUUUUUCGUGUAUGUUUAAGUGCAUCUCUUGGGUACCAAGUGUUUGAAACCCAGUUUGCGUUUCACCAUCAAUGGCACAU
RNAcentral lists this long non-coding RNA (3301 nucleotides) under Sus scrofa (pig). RNAcentral's name for it is "lncRNA (ENSSSCG00015056650.1)". Lineage: Eukaryota; Metazoa; Chordata; Mammalia; Artiodactyla; Suidae. The record is from RNAcentral.